AACGAACGCUGGCGGCAUGCCUAACACAUGCAAGUCGAACGAGACCUUCGGGUCUAGUGGCGCACGGGUUCGUAACGCGUGGGAACCUGCCCUUAGGUUCGGAAUAACUCCCCGAAAGGGGUGCUAAUACCGGAUAAUGUCUUCGGACCAAAGAUUUAUCGCCUUUGGAUGGGCCCGCGUUGGAUUAGCUAGUUGGUAGGGUAAAAGCCUACCAAGGCGACGAUCCAUAGCUGGUCUGAGAGGAUGAUCAGCCACACUGGGACUGAGACACGGCCCAGACUCCUACGGGAGGCAGCAGUGGGGAAUAUUGGACAAUGGGCGAAAGCCUGAUCCGGCAAUGCCGCGUGAGUGAUGAAGGCCUUAGGGUUGUAAAGCUCUUUUACCCGGGAUGAUAAUGACAGUACCGGGAGAAUAAGCUCCGGCUAACUCCGUG
This 433-nucleotide ribosomal RNA is filed under the name uncultured bacterium. RNAcentral's name for it is "partial 16S ribosomal RNA". It matches the Rfam family "Bacterial small subunit ribosomal RNA", at positions 29 to 507 of the family's 1533-position model. The record is from RNAcentral.